UACGGAGGGUGCAAGCGUUGUCCGGAUUUAUUGGGUUUAAAGGGUGCGUAGGCGGCCCGUUAAGUCAGCGGUGAAAUCCCAGGGCUCAACCCUGGAACUGCCGUUGAUACUGGCGGGCUUGAGUUCGGUCGAGGCGGGCGGAACUGGUGGGGGAGCGGUGAGAUGCUUAGAUACAACCAAGAACCCCGAUUGCGUAGGCAGCUCGCUGGGCCGAAACUGACGCUGAGGCACGAAAGCGUGGGGAGCGAACGGG
RNAcentral lists this unclassified non-coding RNA (253 nucleotides) under uncultured Hymenobacteraceae bacterium. Its description in RNAcentral is "contains 16S-23S intergenic spacer region". It matches the Rfam family "Bacterial small subunit ribosomal RNA", at positions 524 to 776 of the family's 1533-position model. The record is from RNAcentral. Lineage: Bacteria; Pseudomonadati; Bacteroidota; Cytophagia; Cytophagales; Hymenobacteraceae.